GACGAAGGAUGCAAGCGUUAUCCGGAUUCAUUGGGUUUAAAGGGAGCGUAGGCGGCCUUGUAAGUCAGUGGUGAAAUCUCUGGGCUUAACUCAGAAAUUGCCAUUGAUACUGCAGGGCUUGAGUACAGUUGCCGUUGGCGGAAUAUGACAUGUAGUGGUGAAAUACAUAGAGAUGUCAUAGAACACCGAUUGCGAAGGCAGCUAACGAAACUGUAACUGACGCUGAGGCUCGAAAGUGUGGGGAUCAAACAGG
RNAcentral lists this ribosomal RNA (253 nucleotides) under uncultured bacterium. RNAcentral's name for it is "partial 16S ribosomal RNA". It matches the Rfam family "Bacterial small subunit ribosomal RNA", at positions 524 to 776 of the family's 1533-position model. The record is from RNAcentral.